CGGCACGGGUGAGUAACACGUAUGCAAUCCACCUGUAACAGGGGGAUAACCCGGAGAAAUCCGGACUAAUACCCCAUAAUAUGGGCGCUCCGCGUGGAGAGUCCAUUAAAGAGAGCAAUCUUGGUUACAGACGAGCAUGCGCUCCAUUAGCCAGUUGGCGGGGUAACGGCCCACCAAGGCGACGAUGGAUAGGGGUUCUGAGAGGAAGGUCCCCCACAUUGGAACUGAGACACGGUCCAA
This 240-nucleotide ribosomal RNA is filed under the name uncultured bacterium. RNAcentral describes it as "partial 16S ribosomal RNA". It matches the Rfam family "Bacterial small subunit ribosomal RNA", at positions 100 to 334 of the family's 1533-position model. The record is from RNAcentral.